Drosophila willistoni is the source of this 515-nucleotide long non-coding RNA. RefSeq lists it as uncharacterized. The transcript has 2 exons. The record is from RefSeq and is a predicted model, not a curated record. NCBI's taxonomy places the organism in Eukaryota, Metazoa, Arthropoda, Insecta, Diptera, Drosophilidae.
ACUAUUUAAUGACUUGAAUCAAAUGUCUGGAUCCAUCGGAAUCGUUUCCGCCUCUUUUAAAUUGUUCCAGAACGCGUAGGCUUCAUCGAUAAGAAUUCUUUGCAAUACGAGCUUAAAUAUGCCUAAUUUUUCCCAAAAGUGAUUGAAUCUGCCCAAACUUGUACAAUCAGAUGUGAUUAACAAUAGAGACAACUUUUUAUGGACAGCAAUUUGCAAGAUUCCUGGCUUUUAUUUUCCUUAAUCAUAACCAAAACAAUUAUCCUUGUUCUCAUCAUUGUCAUCAUCUUCGUCACCAUCAGUGAUUUUGGUUAAAUGACAUAGUGCUUUAUUUGGAGUGCCCAAAUCUUAAUUUCCUUAUCUUAAACUGAAAGACAUGACCAAAAAUCAAAAGUUUUCUGAUGUGAUGUCGUUGAAGCUGUGCGAGGAAUCUGGAAUCGGCACAUAGAUGAUAUUAUAACAAGAAGUUUCCAAAUUAAGCAAGAUUUCAAUGAUAUAUAAAAAUAGUUAAAUUCAAA